UCGUCUUCCAAUCAGGUAUUUACGUAAAUAAAAGCAAAAGUGAGGGCAACUUUAAAACCAAACGCUCCACCGCUUCGUCCCUUUCACCUCUAGAAUAUACUCUGGCACGGGAGGUCUGCUCCUCUUUCAAUUUUUGUCCAAAAUCUCAUCUUUUUUUAUUUCCUCUUCUUUCAUUUCUUUGCCUUUUCAAGCUCGCUUCAGAUGUUUAACCGUUGUCGACGUCUUCUCUAACCCAAUUCAUAAAGCGCACGUUUAUUUGAAUGUAAUAUUAGCUUUGGGUGCUCACGUUUCCUAUACUGGUCUUCUAUUUCCUUUGAAGUGUGGAUGUCUGCUUUUCUUUGCACGUUACAUUUUGAUAUAAGUUAUGUUCAGCUUUUUAAAUGUCAAUGGAUGCAUUUUUUGGAGUUUCGGACAUGGUGCGGCAGCAUUUUUGGGGAUCCCCUGCAACAUAGCAAAUUUGAAGAGACACUUUUUUCGAUAGGUGGACUCUACUCUGGAAUUAGUUGAAGCCUACAUGAACUGUCUACUAAUUGUGAAGUGAAUUUUGAGCUCUGGUAAGUGCUCUGCAGUUGAGUUGAUGUGGUGUCACUUCCUUUGUUUUGUUGAUAAUCUGCUAAAGUUAGAUAUUUACUAAUGCCUUUUGCUUUUCGGACUCAGUGUCCUUAUGCAUUACUUUACUUUUUCCAGAUCCUAAAAUUCAAUAGGAAACUCAAGAAGUGUUACUACAAAGUGAAUCUACAUCCUUCGUGUUAGUUUCAUGUAUUGUAUUGAACAUUAUACUUAUCGCGGACUUUUCCAAUGACAAUCAUUAGAUUUUCUAAAUAUUAAAAGUAUGUGGUAUCAUUGUUUGUAUUAUAAACGUUCUUACUUUUCAGAUGUGAUGUUUUUGUUUUAUUUUUCAUUAUGUUCAGAUAAAUAUAGCCUGCUAAAGCUGACACUCUAGAUCUUUCCUACCUAGCCACUUCUUCGUAGAGGAGGAUAACAAUAUAAUUCUUCACUCCAACCCUGAAAGGCAGGGAGCUCAUCAAUUAAGUUAGGCUCAACCGUUAAUAUGUAUCAGGAGUUAUAGAACAAAUGCUAUUUGAAUUUUAUUGUCCUUAUUUAAUAUUUUUUUUUGUAGUUUAGUAACUAAACCGACUCAUUUUUCGUGUUGGGCUCGUGCUUGCUCGGGCUUGCCACCAUCUAGUAUAUAUAUAAAUAUAGAUUCGGCAGGGCAUGACAAUGCGGGAUACUAAUUGGCAUAAUAAGCCUACGCUUUUUCAAAUUGGCAUCUGCUAACCAAAUAUACAUUUCUUUUAAAAUGUUUGACAGUUUCUAAUCAAUUCCUUCACCGAAAAAAUAGAUCAUUUUCUCUCAUCCUUUAAUAUAUUUAUCCUUAAAUAAGCCUCAUUACACGUUAACCUCUUCUUUGAAACUAUAGAUAUUUAUUCCCCCCCCUCCCCUAAUUGUUAUAUUCUCCAAAAUUUAUAGUGGAGUUGAUAUAGUCUUUGUCGAGUUUCAGUCUUCUUAAUUUGUUAUAUUGUGAAGUACUUUGUAUACAUUCAAAUAUAUAUUUUGUAAUACCAUAUAUGUAUUAUGAUAUAUAUUGUGAAGUACCAUGUAUAGUGAUAUGUAUUGUGAAGUAGUAUGUGUGUGUGUAUAUAUAUAUAUAUAUAUAUAUAUAUAUAUAUAUAUAUAUCACACGUAAGAAGGUGAACUAAUUUUGGAUUCUACCCCUAUUAUUACGUUAUAUCAAUUUUUAAGAAUGUGUAAUAUAGAGUGAUUUUUCAUUGCCCCCUUAUUUGUUUGUUCUAUCUAUGGAAUACCUUUCAAGAUCAUUGAAGACUUUGAGGAAUAUCCCUGAUUUCAACUACCAUACAAAGUGUGAGAAACUAAACUUGGUGCAGCUGGGGUUCGCUAAUGAUUUACUUAUUUUGUAGGGGUGACAUAGGCUCUGUACAAUUGAUGUAGGAUUGUUUUGCUAGAUUCUCACAGGCCUCUAGACUGAUUGCUAACCUGAGCAAAAGCUCCAUUUAUUUCAGAGGGGUUGGUCAACAUGAACAACAAGAGAUUAUCCAGACUCUGGGCUUUACUAAAGGUGAGCUCCCAUUUAAAUAUUUGGGAGUACCUCUGAGCACAAGGAAGAUCUCCAUAGCCCAAUGUCAACCAUUAGUAGACAAGAUACUAGGUAAUCAUGGACUGCUAAAUAUCUAUCUUAUGCUGGAAGAUUGUAAUUGUUGAAGACGGUGCUAUUCUCUGUACAAGUAUAUUUGUCACAGAUUUUUGUGAUCCCUAAGAAAAUUCUUAAGCUGGUAGAGACAGUAUGUAGAACAUAUCUGUGGACAGGUAGGACUGUGGCUUCUAAAAAAGCUCCUUUAGCUUGGGAAACUGUAUGCAGCCCACGAAUUUAACGUAAUUGACUUAUAUACGUGGAACAAGGCUGCUAUCUGUAAGUUGUUGUGGAGUAUUUGCAAAAAGAAGGAUAGACUUUGGGUGCAAUGGAUACAUGUAUAUUAUGGAAAGGUACACACAAUAUGGCUUAAUGUGCCUAAGCAAGCUUCUUGGGUUGUGAGGAAAAUCAUGAAGGCUAAGGAGUAUAUCGAGACUGCUGGGGUAAGCAUGGAUGAGAUAGUGAUCUGGGAAAAAUUCUCAAUCAAAACUAUGUACUUAAGACUGAGAGGUACCUUUCAAAAAGUUCCAUGGAAGAAGCUAACUUGCAGUAAUGGGGGACUACCUAAAUGGAACUUUAUUCUAAUUCUAGCAGCUCAGAGAAGACUACUUACUAGAGACAGAUUGGCGAAAUAGGGGAUGAUUGAUGAGACUGUGUGUCCACUAUGCAUUGUGGAGAAUGAAUCGAUUGAACACUUAUUCUUUAGCUGCUUAUUCUCCACUAGUGUUUGGAGUAACAUUUUGACCUGGCAAGGACUUAAUAGACAUAUACUUGGUUGGCAAGAAAAGCUUAAGACUGCAAGUGACUAUGCCAAAGGGAAUUCUGCUGAUGCCAUAAUUUACAGGAUGACUAUUCUGCUUAUAUACAUCAGAUUUGGCAAGAGAGAAAUUUGAGGAUAUUUCAACAUCAAAGUAGACCUGUAACUCCUAUGAUUAGAAUGAUUAUCCAGGAGGUUGUAGGAAGGGGUGCAAUGCAGAAAAAGCUCUCAAGGAAGUUAUCUGAACUCAACUUUUAUCCUUAAUAUGGUGGUCUUAGUAGCUUAUUGGAGGUGUAGUGGAUGAGUGGUAUGAGUAGUGAGCAGCCUUGGGGCAUUAUGUCCAAGGUUGCUGGUUGGAAUUUUGAGAAAUUACAGCUUUGUAAAGUUAUACUUUUUGGUAAUAAAAUUCAUUAGUUGUCAAAAAAAAAAAUAUGUAGAUGAUUUUAAAGGGAUAAUAUUAUGUUCAGAGUGAUUUUAGGAGAAAGGAUAGUUUACUUAGCAUGAUUUUAGGGGUUAGAUACCAGAUUGGCUACACAAUGCCAUUAUUUUUAGGUUUACUUUUGCUAAAUAUGUUUUGGGUCAAAAGAAUGUCAAUUUUAUGUAUGACUUGUACCUAUAUGUCAAUUUCCCUAUAAUGAAUGUUUGGGCAUUUUACAA
Lycium barbarum (goji berry) is the source of this 3563-nucleotide long non-coding RNA. RefSeq lists it as uncharacterized. The transcript has 2 exons. The record is from RefSeq and is a predicted model, not a curated record. Lineage: Eukaryota; Viridiplantae; Streptophyta; Magnoliopsida; Solanales; Solanaceae.